CUUUUUCUAUCAACGGCACAAAACCACACAGAGGCCACUGAAACAGACGAAUCUCCUCUUCCUGCGUUGGAGUUUGUUACCCUUCCCUUCCAAAGUUCCGAUAGUGGUGCAGUUGCGAGGCAAUCACCGAAUCAUUUGAGUUUACACGCACGCCACCUGUUCGACAAAAGGCCUCUUCGCGGUUCGGCCACCAUGGCGGGGACGCCUGGCAAGCGCCUUAGGUACACGGCCUCGAGGCGCGUUGGGUCCACGCUCAGCGACCUCCCCGAAGGAGUCCUCCACCACAUCAUGUCCUUCUUGGACUCGCGACAGGCCGUGCAGAUGUGUGUGCUGUUGCAGCGGUGGCGCAACCUCUGGCGCUCCAUGCCUCGCAUCAACAUCGACUGCAAAGAGUCCUCGCAUCAACAUCGACUGCAAAGAGUUCGAGGUGAAAAAAGGAGAGGGACAAGUGUGUGGAGCCAGCAGGGUGCGCGCGUGGGAGGAGAGGGAGCGACCGAUUUUCUCCCUCCAUCGGUCGACCGAUCAUGAGCAUUUUCGAUAACAUAUGUAUCCUAUCAAGAAAUUUUCAAGUGUCAUUACAUAGACUGCCAUUUCACUGCGAUAAUAUUUUUUUUUAAAAAAUGUCAUAAAACAAAAACAUAAUUUUAUUUUCCUACUAGAAUAUAAUUACAGCAUGACUAAUUCGCUGCAGCAAACAUAAUCUUACUUAAGAAUCACCAGAGGCCACAAGCCCAUUAAUUCGGCCCACUAAUGCCGUUUCCCGGACUCGGCCGAUCACAUCCGGCCCAGUAGCAGUCAGGAAGAGUGGAAGACGAACAAACAACUCAGGCGGCGGGGCUCCACCUUUCCGCCACCGCUGGCGAGACGGCCGGCGCGACGCGACGCGACGCGAGGCGGGGCCGCGUGAGACGGCGAGAGGUAGGCGGCACGGCCCAGGCGCAGCGCGCCGCAAGGGCGGGGAAGCGUGCGCGCGCGCGCCACGCGUGUAUGUACUGGUGGUUGAGGGAGGGCAUGCGUGACGCUGACGCAUCGGCUUCAAGCGCAUUCGCGGCCGCCGCGGUGGUGGAGAUGAGCGUCGAAGGACUGGAGGAAGCUGGAUGUCGGAGGGCGCAGGAGCGUUCGCCGAUAAGGUAUACAAGUAGCGAGGCGCGGUGGCGAUUGAAUUGUUAAGUGGGUUCGCCGCGUGCUGUUUGGCUUGCACGCUAACUGUUUGAUGCAAUGCUUCGCUCCUGUUGCCUUGCAGGCCCCUCCAGAAGUUCUACACUUGUAAGACCCCCUUCUUGACGGUAUCGAUCUGCAACAGUCUGUUCUUCCUGAAUCCCCUGGUUCAAUGAUGAAGAUAAGUACCUUACUAAUAAUUUAUUCAUCUUUUUAAGCAUACCACCUGUUCGUUCUCAAUGCCCCUCAGGAGUAAAACUAAGCUGACAAAAUGCAUUUCUGUGCUAUUUAUAUCUCUCGUCUGGUGCCUGUGAUUUGUUGAACCUUCAGGAAUGCUCUGCCCUUAUUCUUUUAUGUUGUCAGGCAGCAUAUAUAUAUUUUAAGUCAAAUAUGAGUUUUUUUCGUUCUUAUAAUGCGAGACAUCAGUAUAGGCUAGUUACAAUUGCAUCUCAUUUGUAAUGAUAUCAGUGAACAUGAUUGGUGUAUUGCGUUUAGAUGCUCCCAGGCUUGGGACGCUAAUAAUAGGAAGGUUAUUGAUAUAGUUUUUUCUUUCUUUUAGCUUCGAACCACUCUAUAUGUUACACGAGCUAUUAGGUUACUAUAUUUAUAACUCCCUCCAUCCCAAAUUAUAGGACACCCUCUUUUUAAGGAAAAUCAAACUCGGUAAACUUUUACUAAUAAUCAUAUUAACCUUAUCUAUGCUAAGUAUUAUGCAUGUUAUAUCAUUAGAUUCAUAUUUUAAAGUACUUUUAUGUGAUACUAAUUUCAUAUUCGUUGGAAAUAUAACAUGGAAUAAAUUAAAGGUCAAAAUAUGUCAUUGAAGACUAUGUAAAUAAAAUAUAAGCCUUAUAAUUUGGGACGGAGGACCAUUUAGCAUUCUAUACAGCUGUCUUUCUAGUGUGAUUUAAAUCUCCAAUGGUAAUAAACUAGUAAUAAUAAUGGUUCAUUAACCAAGUUUGCUGAACCAACAAUGAUAGGCAUUCAAUGAAGAUAUUACAAAUAUUUUCCUUUAAGUACAGCAUGAGAUCUCCUAUCAUUUCAAUAUUUUAUUGAAGAAGAUAAUAGUGAAUAAUUACUUUUAUGUAUGAAUCUUAGGAAAGCUACAGCCUUCUUAUGUGCACUACUAGUUGCGAACAGAAAAUAAAGUUAACCAGCCUAAUAAAAAUAUUUUAGCUAAUUACAAGUUUGCACUCCAUGAGCAGCCCGCCAGAGCUCCUGAAGAUUUCUAAUGCCUACCUCCAAGUUUCAGCUUCCUCCCUGGUGAUGGCUACCUCAAAUCACCUAGUCUCUUUUAUUCUGAAACACACUCUUGUCUCAUUCCAAUUAUAGUUUUGCCAUAUAAUUGGGAUAACUAACAUUCCCUCGUCUUAUUUCGGUCGUGCACUGUUGCUUCAUGAUAGUGAACGUUUGCCAGAUUUAUACCAUGUAAGUUGAUCCAUUGCUAGCUUCCAGAUAGUCCUUUCUAUUAAAGGUGCACUCGAUAUACAAUUGUCACGCUGUCUCUGGCAGAUUCCUACACAUUACAGUUGAACAUUACCAUUGGCAAUAUGCUAACAAUUAUUGAGAAAAUGAUAGGAAUUUGGCAGAAAAUACUACUACUAUGUGAUAUCUUUGGCAAGUACAAAUAUUUGAACUGGGUGGGCUUGAGUCAUGUUCGGAGCCUUACGUCUACUGUCUUGUUUUGUAAUAGAUUUUUUUUCCUAUUAAUUGCAGUGCACACAAUAGUUUGUCAUAAUCUACUUUAUUGAAACCUGAUUAUACAGUUUUAGAGUGACAGGAUCCUUUGGUCAUGCAUUACAUUAAAUUACGAGUGUUAAAGGAAAAUAAAUUUGGCAAACAGCAAAAAAGAAUAAUUCAUUUGCGUGUUUUGUGUUUGCAUGAGGAACAUGUUUUGAGCUGGUUAGUUUGCCCUCACUAGAAAAGCAGGUAAAUUACCUUGGAACUAAAAUAAUGGAAUGCAGGUCAAUACAACUUCUGGGAUAUGUUGCCUCAGAUUGUUGCAUUGCUCCUCUAGCUCUGGGCUGUACCCUUGCAGCUGCCGGUAGGACACCUCGAGCCUCUUGAGGGAACGAAGAGAACGCAAUGAUGAGGGGAGAGACUGCAACCUGUUGCACCCAUAAAAGAUGAGCUCUUGGAGUGAGUGAGGCUGAGAGGCGUUGGCAGAUUGGAGCAGCAAGAACGCCUGAGAUGCUGCCAAUGUCCAACUCCUCCAGCUCCUUAGAGCCAGCCACCACUGUUCGUGCCAUCCUUGUCAUCAGCCGAUCUUCUUCCAGGUCAUAAAUGUCGUAACCGUAAGCCCUCAACGCCUUGAGGUUGUUCAUCAGGGGAAGGUCGUCAUGAACAGCCUGCAUUGCUGCACAAGAGAGGACGCACCCUCCAAGUUGCAACCAAUGGAGGGACAUGAGCUUCUUGAGCACUUCAUCCUUCACAUUCAUGGUCAGGUGAUCCCUGGAGAAGAUACCUAAUCUGCUUAACGAGCUGGUAAACUGAGAUGGGAAUUGCAACAUGCCAUCAAUAUCAUUGUCAUCGUCGUCCAUUUCAUGGCUGCUCUGUUGCAUGCACAGUCCUGUUAUGCCCUUGCAGUCUUCCAUUUCCAAAUGGGAAAGACAAGGACAGCAAGCAAGAAUCUCCGAUAGCUCCUUCCCUGUGAUGUAGCAGUUCCUGAGCAUAAGAUGCUUGAUUGGUAUCUGGAUGGCAUCACUCUCUCCUCUUCCAGAUGAUAGGCUGAUGCAAUCCUCUAUAGCCAAUGUUUCAAGCGAGGUUAGCUUCUGCAGGGUAGCUAAUGGCACAGACGAGCAUACCUUGAUGGUCACACGAACUAACCAUUCCAUGUCAUGGAAUGCCAACACAUUGUCCAGGUUACCCAAGUUCAACAAAAUGUUGUCCACUCCUCUGAUUUCCAACAUGUGUAUAUCGUAAAGAAGUUUAUAUGGACGACUUGCCACUUUCGCCAACUCUAACUUAGUCGUAUAAG
Molecule: non-coding RNA, 4132 nt
Organism: Oryza sativa Japonica Group (Japanese rice)
Lineage: Eukaryota; Viridiplantae; Streptophyta; Magnoliopsida; Poales; Poaceae
Source: RefSeq, a predicted model, not a curated record